UACAGAGGGGGCAAGCGUUGUUCGGAAUUACUGGGCGUAAAGGGCGCGUAGGUGGCCUUCUAAGUGGAACGUGAAAUCCCUGGGCUCAACCCAGGAACUGCGUCCAAGACUGGGAGGCUUGAAUCCGGGAGAGGGAUGCGGAAUUCCAGGUGUAGCGGUGAAAUGCGUAGAUAUCUGGAGGAACACCGGUGGCGAAGGCGGCAUCCUGGACCGGUAUUGACACUGAGGCGCGAAAGCCAGGGGAGCAAACGGG
RNAcentral lists this ribosomal RNA (253 nucleotides) under uncultured bacterium. Its description in RNAcentral is "partial 16S ribosomal RNA". It matches the Rfam family "Bacterial small subunit ribosomal RNA", at positions 524 to 776 of the family's 1533-position model. The record is from RNAcentral.